RNAcentral lists this ribosomal RNA (55 nucleotides) under Astragalus nuttallianus var. nuttallianus. RNAcentral describes it as "partial 26S ribosomal RNA". Lineage: Eukaryota; Viridiplantae; Streptophyta; Magnoliopsida; Fabales; Fabaceae. The record is from RNAcentral.
CGAGACCUCAGGUCAGGCGGGGCUACCCGCUGAAUUUAAGCAUAUCAAUAAGCCG